Molecule: long non-coding RNA, 2912 nt
Filed under: Marmota monax (woodchuck)
Lineage: Eukaryota; Metazoa; Chordata; Mammalia; Rodentia; Sciuridae
Source: RNAcentral
CUCACAGGCAGGUGGACAUGGAUGUGACCUGCCAUGGGUGGGAAUCCCCAGGCCCAUCUCUGCAAGAUGCCACUGUUCCUGCUGACUCAUGGUCAAGACACUGCCAUCUGGAAGCCCCUCUCCCAAUUCCUGGUUCUGGACUUGUGAGGUUGUCAGGCUGCACCCGGGAUGGCUCCCCUCCCAACAGACCCAGCUCCUCACUGGCCACACUACCCUGUCCCGUUGGCUGCUCUGCCUCGACACAGGUCUUUCAGGCCUGGCUUAAAAAUGACAUGCCUUGGGCUGGGGAUGUGGCUCAAGCGGUAGUGUUCUCGCCUGGCAUGCGCGCGGCACUGGGUUCGAUCCUCAGCACCACAUACAAAGAUGUUGUGUCCACCGAAAACUAAAAAAAAAAAAAAAAAAAAUAUUAAAAAAUUCUCUCUCUCUCUCUCUCUCUCUCUCUAAAAGAAAAAAAAAAAAAGAAUGGCAGGCCUUGGGUGGACUGCUCCUUCCUUCCUGCCCUGGACACAUGCAGGCUCCCACUGUCCAGACCACACUCCACCCGCCCUGUCUCAGGCAGCUCAGCCUUCUAUGAUUCCUACCUUGACUCUGGGCUGCUCUUUUCCUGUUCCUAAAAUGUGCUUCAAACAUAGAUUUUGCAAGGAGUCUCUGCUAGCUGAAAUCUUUGUGCCUGGCAAAGACUUGGUUCUGAAUAGAUCUCCAAGGAGCCCCUCCCUCUGGCCUGGAUGGAGCCCCUGCCUUCAUUAUUUCCUUGGCACCCAUCUGCUGCUGGAGGGGACAGGCUGCUUCCUGCUGGCCCACUUUUGCAUGGAAAGCGAGUCUUCCCUCAGGUGGGAUUUGCCACUUGAGAAUCUGCUCCCUGUAGAAGGACCACAUGUUCUUCCUAGCGCUUUCCUCUUGCCUUAAUCUGUUUUCUGUUGCUAUUACUGAAUACCACAGACUGGGUAAGUUAUAAAAUACAGAGGUUGAUUUGCUGAACGGUUCUGCAGACCAGGAACCCAAGUACAGAUUCUGAUAUCAGGUGAGGGUUUUAUUGACUGCAUGAUAAUAUGGCACAGGGUUAGAGCAAGCAUGCUCCCUCAGGUCUCUCUUCCUCUCCUUAUAAAGCCAUCAAUGCCAGCAUGGAAGCCUCAUUUUCAUGACUGCUUUGAAUUCUAAUUAUCUCCCAUCUUCAAAUACCAUUAACAUAUGAGUGUGAUAUUAGGUUCCAACACAGGAAUGGGGUGACACACCCCUGGGGAGCAAUGGGAGGUGGGGGAGGCCUCCCUCCCCAGCAGCCCCCGCAGUCCACCCAGAGGCUGCUCAGCCCAGCAUUCUCUCCCUUCCGGCUGCUCCCUGGUCUCCAGGGCCCCAGCCGUAAGCAGUCAACAUCACUCAGCGCUCUGUGCUGGCUGCCAGCUCCUCCCCAGCUCUCAGGGACCCUCUGCUCUGUUAGUACACAACGCACUCAUCGAUUUUAAGUCGUUUAUUUCUUUUCACAUUUCCCAUCUCUGAAAUCGAACGUGCCGACGAUCAAUAGUGUAGCAUAGUUUAAGUUAUGGUUUUUAGUGGCGCGUAAACUAUCGCCUUAGUUGGUGCCUCUUAAAUUCCUAAACCCCACAUGCUCUCAGACGUGUGCUCCUGGUGCCUCCUCCAGCUCAGCAUCUGUUCCCAGACUCACAGGGGCCUUCCUCUCGGGCUCUCUCUGGCAUCAUCACAUCCCUUUUCCGUACACCUAAUGGCGUGUCACCCUGGAUCUGGCAUCGCGACAAUUACGUUUGUUUUUCGGCUCAUGGUUUGGUUUUGAAGUUACUUGAUAGAAAGGCAGCCAUGGCUCCAAUGUCCCCAGUUUAACAGUGACUGAAAGUGAUUACUCAGGGUAGGGUUUUGUGAAACCGAGGGGGUUUAUUGAAAGAAUAAAUAGGCCCUUUUGUUAAACUCUAUAAAUCAUGAAUAGCCAUGUAAGGCAAACACACACACCCACACACACCCACACACACCCACACACACAUCCACACACACAUUCACACACACCCCCACACACACACCCACACACACCCACACACAUCCACACACACCCACACACACCCACAAACACACACACACCCACACACACAUCCACACACAUCCACACACACCCACACACAUCCACACACAUCCACACACACACACACACAAACACAUCCACACACACCCCCACACACAUUCACACACAUCCACACAAACACACCCACACACACCCAUACACAUCCACACACAUCCACACACACACACCCACACACAUACACACACCCACACACACACACACAUCCACACACCCACACAUCCACACACCCACACACACCCACAAACACAUCCACACACACACACAUCCACACACACCCCCCACACACACCCAUACACAUCCACACACACACCUACACACAUCCACACACACUCACACACAAACCCACACACAUCCACACACAUCCACACACUACACCAGGGUGCAGUGCAUACGUGCAUGGAGGCACACUUUGAGAGAGACAGACAACCAGAGAGCAGAGACAAGCAGAGGUGGAGAGGCAGGACUACUAGAUGGAUGACCAGGUCCUGGGCAAAUGACAGCAGCAUCCUCCCAUGGAAGGAAAAUGCAUCCUCAUACAACUAGGCUUGGACCACGCAGGAGUCUCAGGGAGGUGUCUGAGUGCUUCCCAGACACUGUUGUGGUGCUGGAUGUCUGAGUCUAUCCCGCUCACCUGUGAUCCGAAGACCUUCAGGCCAGCACACUGCCCCUGCCUCCAAGUCAGCCUCUCCGCGCUGGCAGCAACAGGGAUCUGAGCUGGAGGUGGGUGGGUCGAGAUCCAGCCUGCUCACCCACCAGGUGGACUUUCCCACCCAGAUCUAUUUUCCCAGUGGCUCGUUUUCUACAAGUGGUGGGUCUCAUCCCCCUC